This is a long non-coding RNA of Symphalangus syndactylus (siamang), 1233 nucleotides long. RefSeq lists it as uncharacterized. The record is from RefSeq and is a predicted model, not a curated record. NCBI's taxonomy places the organism in Eukaryota, Metazoa, Chordata, Mammalia, Primates, Hylobatidae.
CAGGCUCACCCUGAACCAAUCACUCCAAACCUCAGAAGAAGGGAGGUUAGAAAGAACCUGUAAAAUCAGUAGCUGUUACAGCCCACUUGGGAAGUUAACCAACAUUACCAGGCAGUGAAGACAGUGUUGGUGGGGGGUAAAAUCAGGAAGCUGCAAUUGAGGUUCAGGGAAGGAAAACCAUUCUCAGCUGAGGUCGUUAGGAACGCCUUCACAGGAGAGGUAGGAUUUGAGCUGGGCGUUGGGAGACCUAAAGUUUAAAAACGGAGGAAGAAGAAAAUACUGUACUUUCAUUCCUGAUCAUUUUCUAAGGCUCAAGGAAGCUAACAGCCCAGGGGGAUGUAAAGGAUCGUGUUGGUUUUCUUCCCUUUGCCACUGGUUCAGGAUGAGAAGUGUUUUUCUUUGAGCAUCAAGUCCUUCCAGAGACUGACAGAAGGGGGGAGAAUUUGGAUACGAGGACAAAAAUCUCCAACACAGGCGCUCACAUGUAAAGCAGGAGGAAAACGCCGUGCUUCUCCCCAACCUGAGGAACAGCUGUGGCCAUGUGAAGAAGGAUGUCUUUGCUUCCCCUUCCAGCAUGAUUGUAAGUUUCCUGAGGCCUUCCCAGCCAUGCUGAACUAGAAUUUGCUGAACUAAGGAAGAUGCAAGAAGAGAGGCCUUGGUCUUCAGUGGGCAAUCAGCAAGCUGAAGACUUCUACUCAUCUGUUGACAUUCACUGGGGUGGCAUCGGCUCCUGCAAAGACCUCACAAACUGGUUUUAGGCCAACAGGAGACAAAGUUCCCCUUACUAAAAGGGUACAACCCUUGGUUUUCACAGGUGGUCUUUUGUCUACUGACCUUACACUAGAUCAAGUCUUCGCAUUAGGCUAGUUAUCUAUCAUGUCUUAAUAAUACAUUGAAAAAAGCCAUUUCCAUGGAUGAAACUGGAAAACAUCAUUCUCAGUAAACUAUCGCAAGGACAGAAAACCAAACACCGCAUGUUCUCACUCAUAGGUGGGAAUUGAACAAUGAGAACUCAUGGACACAGGAAGGGGAACAUCACACUCCGGGGACUGUUGUGGGGUUGGGGGAGGGGGGAGGGACAGCAUUAGGAGAUAUACCUAAUGCUAAAUGACGAGUUAAUGGGUGCAGGAAAUCAACGUGGCACAUGGAUACAUAUGUAACAAACCUGCACAUUGUGCACAUGUACCCUAAAACCUAAAGUAUAAUAAAAAAAAUAAAAAUAAAUAGAAAAAA